CUACCAGGUAGCAGGCUGGAAGGAGGAAUAGUCCCUGAGCCCUGCUUCCCUUCAGAGUGACUUGGCCCCACCGCACCCCUUCCCUGAAGGCCGGGCGGCCGUGGUCCCCCUCCAGGAAGCGGGCAGCUGGGCAGGGAGAACCCCAGCCUGCCAGGCCCCUUCCCUGCCCACCUCCCCACCAUCCAACGGCCCUCCUUCCUCUCGGCCCCAGCACCCAGGGCGCGGCCCACCACAGGGCUCGGACACUUGGCCAAGCCAGGCUCCUGGCCCAGGUGAGACCCCCCACCGGACUCCACCCUGCCUGCGGGGGUCUCGGGGAGGCCCAGGGCACUAGCCGUGGGGCCACUUCUCCACUAAGCUGGGUCUCCACCUCGCGCCCUCCACGCCCUGGUCCCGUGGCUGAGGGGCCAGUUCUGCUCCCCCGCAGCCCACGGCCCACCUCCCCUGCUUCGGGGGGGCUGGCAGCCCCAGGGCAUGACCCUCUGGCCGCCGAGGUGGCACCGCUGGGGUUAAGGGCUGCUCAGAUCGCAGAGCCUCGGCUUCCGGUUUUCGGGAGACGCCGAUUAUUAAUGGCCAUUGUUCUUCCCUUCUGGGGCAUGAAAACGGCCGUCCCCUCACAACCGGAAGAGAGCAGGUCGCGGUUCCCAGAGUAUGAAAUGUCAGCCUCCGGCGGCGGGCGGCAAGGACACUGGCCCAGCAGUGCUCAAAAUAGACUCGAGGACUGAGUGUCCAGCCCCGGGAGGCGCUGGGCCCAGGCGAGCUGUCCCCUUUCUCUUUCUUUACAGAUAAAAAGGAAGGAAGCUGACAGGUCAGCCCCGAGGACUCGCCGUCUUAGACGUGGAACUCAGUGGGACCGCAGACAGAGCCCGUCUGCAGGGACCUCUGACCACGCGCAAGUCCCUGGGGUCUGGCAGUACAGCCUGCGGUGCCCCCUGUCCGCCCCCUCCCCAGGGACUGGCCCUGCAGCCUGCCGAGGCUGGCACCGCCCAGAGCUUGUGCCGUGACGGAGAAGCUCUGUACCUGCUACGUCCACUCCAGUACCCACCAGCCACGUGCAGCCAGAGGGCGUUUGAAGAGUGACACCGCGAUCGGCGCCCGCGGUACGCGCUCUUUCGUGUUAACAGAUUUAGACUGAAAUGGCCAUAUUUGAAUGGUGGCUAGUGGCUACUGGUGUUGGACAGCUUCAUGUCCGGCCCAGGGGGAGAGAGCAGCGACGGACUGACAGCCUCUGCCACACUUGGGGUGAGACGGGCAAACCUGAAGGCCACGCUCCUCAGUGACCAGGGGACGGGUGGCAUCCCAGGACCUGAGGCCUAAUCAGUGACCCUGGGUCCACCCAGUCUCAGCGUUUAGGAGAAAGCAUGUCUGUGCAGUUUAAGGGGAGUCCCUGCUGUCCAGGCUCUUGGCCUUGGCUCAGCAACCAGAGAGCGUCCAAAACCCCACACCAGCCACGCUCCAGGUUCUGCUGGAACCCUGAGCCGGACACCCCCCCCCCAGCCCCAGCCACCAGGGCCUCCUCUCCGCCCAGCCUCCCUGGCCUCAUCCACUUCACUCUGCCCUCCACUCCAGGGUGGACCCUGCCCCACCCCUGGAGGCCCUGAAAGCAAGGGCCACCUCUGACUCCAUUUCGGCAUCCCCCACCCAAAGCCAGCUCCCGCCGGCCCCCGGGGAAGCCCAUGUGAUUCCAGUGUGUAUCUUCCCACUGUGGCCACCAUGAUGAGACAGAUGCCAUUGUCACGCCAGUUCCCAGGUGAGGACUAAGACGCAGAGGGGCGGGGAGUGGGGAGCUUUGGCCAAGGGCAGAAAAGAAAAUGGCAGGUGUGAGACUCGGAUCUGGGAAUAUGUCCCUCCCAGGACUUGUUCAGCCAAUGGAAGUCAAGUCCACUGUGUCCUUCUUUGCAAACUCAAUAAAUGUUAGGUGACAGAUGGAAAAGUGAGUGGAAGGG
RNAcentral lists this long non-coding RNA (1946 nucleotides) under Marmota monax (woodchuck). Lineage: Eukaryota; Metazoa; Chordata; Mammalia; Rodentia; Sciuridae. The record is from RNAcentral.